GGGUUGUGAGGUUAAGCGACUAAGCGUACACGGUGGAUGCCCUGGCAGUCAGAGGCGAUGAAGGACGUGCUAAUCUGCGAAAAGCGUCGGUAAGGUGAUAUGAACCGUUAUAGCCGGCGAUGUCCGAAUGGGGAAACCCAGUGCAAUUCGUUGCACUAUCGUUAACUGAAUACAUAGGUUAACGAGGCGAACCGGGGGAACUGAAACAUCUAAGUACCCCGAGGAAAAGAAAUCAACCGAGAUUCCCCAGUAGCGGCGAGCGAACGGGGAGCAGCCCAGAGUCUGAAUCAGCUUGUGUGUUAGUGGAACGGUCUGGAAAGUCCGACGGUACAGGGUGAUAGUCCCGUACACCAAAAUGCACAGGUUGUGAACUCGAAGAGUAGGGCGGGACACGUGGUAUCCUGUCUGAAUAUGGGGGGACCAUCCUCCAAGGCUAAAUACUCCUGACUGACCGAUAGUGAACCAGUACCGUGAGGGAAAGGCGAAAAGAACCCCGGCGAGGGGAGUGAAAAAGAACCUGAAACCGUGUACGUACAAGCAGUGGGAGCACCUUCGGGUGUGACUGCGUACCUUUUGUAUAAUGGGUCAGCGACUUAUAUUCUGUAGCAAGGUUAACCGUAUAGGGGAGCCGCAGGGAAACCGAGUCUUAACUGGGCGUUAAGUUGCAGGGUAUAGACCCGAAACCCGGUGAUCUAGCCAUGGGCAGGUUGAAGGUUGGGUAACACUAACUGGAGGACCGAACCGACUAAUGUUGAAAAAUUAGCGGAUGACUUGUGGCUGGGGGUGAAAGGCCAAUCAAACCGGGAGAUAGCUGGUUCUCCCCGAAAGCUAUUUAGGUAGCGCCUCGUGAACUCAUCUUCGGGGGUAGAGCACUGUUUCGGCUAGGGGGUCAUCCCGACUUACCAACCCGAUGCAAACUACGAAUACCGAAGAAUGUUAUCACGGGAGACACACGGCGGGUGCUAACGUCCGUCGUGAAGAGGGAAACAACCCAGACCGCCAGCUAAGGUCCCAAAGUCAUGGUUAAGUGGGAAACGAUGUGGGAAGGCACAGACAGCCAGGAUGUUGGCUUAGAAGCAGCCAUCAUUUAAAGAAAGCGUAAUAGCUCACUGGUCGAGUCGGCCUGCGCGGAAGAUGUAACGGGGCUAAACCAUGCACCGAAGCUGCGGCAGCGACACUAUGUGUUGUUGGGUAGGGGAGCGUUCUGUAAGCCUGCGAAGGUGUGCUGUGAGGCAUGCUGGAGGUAUCAGAAGUGCGAAUGCUGACAUAAGUAACGAUAAAGCGGGUGAAAAGCCCGCUCGCCGGAAGACCAAGGGUUCCUGUCCAACGUUAAUCGGGGCAGGGUGAGUCGACCCCUAAGGCGAGGCCGAAAGGCGUAGUCGAUGGGAAACAGGUUAAUAUUCCUGUACUUGGUGUUACUGCGAAGGGGGGACGGAGAAGGCUAUGUUAGCCGGGCGACGGUUGUCCCGGUUUAAGCAUGUAGGCUGGUUAUCCAGGCAAAUCCGGAUAAUCAAGGCUGAGGUGUGAUGACGAGGCACUACGGUGCUGAAGUAACAAAUGCCCUGCUUCCAGGAAAAGCCUCUAAGCAUCAGGUAACAUCAAAUCGUACCCCAAACCGACACAGGUGGUCAGGUAGAGAAUACCAAGGCGCUUGAGAGAACUCGGGUGAAGGAACUAGGCAAAAUGGUGCCGUAACUUCGGGAGAAGGCACGCUGGUGUGUAGGUGAAGUCCCUGCGGAUGGAGCUGAGACCAGUCGAAGAUACCAGCUGGCUGCAACUGUUUAUUAAAAACACAGCACUGUGCAAACACGAAAGUGGACGUAUACGGUGUGACGCCUGCCCGGUGCCGGAAGGUUAAUUGAUGGGGUUAUCCGUAAGGAGAAGCUCUUGAUCGAAGCCCCGGUAAACGGCGGCCGUAACUAUAACGGUCCUAAGGUAGCGAAAUUCCUUGUCGGGUAAGUUCCGACCUGCACGAAUGGCGUAAUGAUGGCCAGGCUGUCUCCACCCGAGACUCAGUGAAAUUGAACUCGCUGUGAAGAUGCAGUGUACCCGCGGCAAGACGGAAAGACCCCGUGAACCUUUACUAUAGCUUGACACUGAACAUUGAGCCUUGAUGUGUAGGAUAGGUGGGAGGCUUUGAAGCGUGGACGCCAGUCUGCGUGGAGCCAACCUUGAAAUACCACCCUUUAAUGUUUGAUGUUCUAACGUUGGCCCCUUACCGGGGUUGCGGACAGUGUCUGGUGGGUAGUUUGACUGGGGCGGUCUCCUCCCAAAGCGUAACGGAGGAGCACGAAGGUUAGCUAAUCCUGGUCGGACAUCAGGAGGUUAGUGCAAUGGCAUAAGCUAGCUUGACUGCGAGCGUGACGGCGCGAGCAGGUGCGAAAGCAGGUCAUAGUGAUCCGGUGGUUCUGAAUGGAAGGGCCAUCGCUCAACGGAUAAAAGGUACUCCGGGGAUAACAGGCUGAUACCGCCCAAGAGUUCAUAUCGACGGCGGUGUUUGGCACCUCGAUGUCGGCUCAUCACAUCCUGGGGCUGAAGUAGGUCCCAAGGGUAUGGCUGUUCGCCAUUUAAAGUGGUACGCGAGCUGGGUUUAGAACGUCGUGAGACAGUUCGGUCCCUAUCUGCCGUGGGCGCUGGAGAAUUGAGGGGGGCUGCUCCUAGUACGAGAGGACCGGAGUGGACGCAUCACUGGUGUUCGGGUUGUCAUGCCAAUGGCACUGCCCGGUAGCUAAAUGCGGAAGAGAUAAGUGCUGAAAGCAUCUAAGCACGAAACUUGCCCCGAGAUGAGUUCUCCCUGAGACUUUAAGUCUCCUGAAGGAACGUUAAAGACGAUGACGUUGAUAGGCCGGGUGUGUAAGCGCAGCGAUGCGUUGAGCUAACCGGUACUAAUGAACCGUGAGGCUUAACCUUACAACGCCGAAG
RNAcentral lists this ribosomal RNA (2922 nucleotides) under Klebsiella pneumoniae. Its description in RNAcentral is "bacterial LSU rRNA". It matches the Rfam family "Bacterial large subunit ribosomal RNA". The record is from RNAcentral. Lineage: Bacteria; Pseudomonadati; Pseudomonadota; Gammaproteobacteria; Enterobacterales; Enterobacteriaceae.